This 254-nucleotide ribosomal RNA is filed under the name uncultured bacterium. Its description in RNAcentral is "partial 16S ribosomal RNA". It matches the Rfam family "Bacterial small subunit ribosomal RNA", at positions 524 to 776 of the family's 1533-position model. The record is from RNAcentral.
UACGGGGGGAGCAAGCGUUGUUCGGAUUUACUGGGCGUAAAGGGCGCGUAGGCGGCCACCGCAAGUCGACUGUGAAAUCUCCGGGCUUAACCCGGAAAGGUCAGCCGAUACUGCGGGGCUAGAGUGCAGAAGGGGCAACUGGAAUUCUCGGUGUAGCGGUGAAAUGCGUAGAUAUCUGGAGGAACACCGGUGGCGAAGGCGGCGUUCUGGACUGUCUCUGACACUGAAGAACGAAAGCCAGGGGAGCAAACGGG